Cavia porcellus (domestic guinea pig) is the source of this 271-nucleotide non-coding RNA. It matches the Rfam family "Metazoan signal recognition particle RNA". From Rfam's summary of the family: The signal recognition particle (SRP) is a universally conserved ribonucleoprotein. Lineage: Eukaryota; Metazoa; Chordata; Mammalia; Rodentia; Caviidae. The record is from Rfam.
GCCAGGCGUGGUGGCGCACGCCUGUAGUCCCAGCUACUCGGGAGCUCCUUGAGUCCAGGAGUUCUGGGCUGCAGUGCGCUAUGCUGAUCGUGUGUCUGCACCAAGUUCAGCAUCAAUAUGGUGACCUCCCGGGAGCGGGGGACCACCAGGUUGCCUAAGGAGGGGUGAACCGGCCCAGGUCGGAAACGGAGCAGGUCAAAACUCCCAUGCUGAUCAGUAGUGGGAUCGUGCCUGUGAAUAGCCACUGCACUCAAGCUUGGGCAAUAUAGUG